This 966-nucleotide ribosomal RNA is filed under the name Staphylococcus aureus M0237. Its description in RNAcentral is "bacterial SSU rRNA". It matches the Rfam family "Bacterial small subunit ribosomal RNA", at positions 8 to 955 of the family's 1533-position model. RNAcentral also lists the same sequence under 3 other names. Lineage: Bacteria; Bacillati; Bacillota; Bacilli; Caryophanales; Staphylococcaceae. The record is from RNAcentral.
AGAGUUUGAUCCUGGCUCAGGAUGAACGCUGGCGGCGUGCCUAAUACAUGCAAGUCGAGCGAACGGACGAGAAGCUUGCUUCUCUGAUGUUAGCGGCGGACGGGUGAGUAACACGUGGAUAACCUACCUAUAAGACUGGGAUAACUUCGGGAAACCGGAGCUAAUACCGGAUAAUAUUUUGAACCGCAUGGUUCAAAAGUGAAAGACGGUCUUGCUGUCACUUAUAGAUGGAUCCGCGCUGCAUUAGCUAGUUGGUAAGGUAACGGCUUACCAAGGCAACGAUGCAUAGCCGACCUGAGAGGGUGAUCGGCCACACUGGAACUGAGACACGGUCCAGACUCCUACGGGAGGCAGCAGUAGGGAAUCUUCCGCAAUGGGCGAAAGCCUGACGGAGCAACGCCGCGUGAGUGAUGAAGGUCUUCGGAUCGUAAAACUCUGUUAUUAGGGAAGAACAUAUGUGUAAGUAACUGUGCACAUCUUGACGGUACCUAAUCAGAAAGCCACGGCUAACUACGUGCCAGCAGCCGCGGUAAUACGUAGGUGGCAAGCGUUAUCCGGAAUUAUUGGGCGUAAAGCGCGCGUAGGCGGUUUUUUAAGUCUGAUGUGAAAGCCCACGGCUCAACCGUGGAGGGUCAUUGGAAACUGGAAAACUUGAGUGCAGAAGAGGAAAGUGGAAUUCCAUGUGUAGCGGUGAAAUGCGCAGAGAUAUGGAGGAACACCAGUGGCGAAGGCGACUUUCUGGUCUGUAACUGACGCUGAUGUGCGAAAGCGUGGGGAUCAAACAGGAUUAGAUACCCUGGUAGUCCACGCCGUAAACGAUGAGUGCUAAGUGUUAGGGGGUUUCCGCCCCUUAGUGCUGCAGCUAACGCAUUAAGCACUCCGCCUGGGGAGUACGACCGCAAGGUUGAAACUCAAAGGAAUUGACGGGGACCCGCACAAGCGGUGGAGCAUGUGGUUUAAUUCGAA